RNAcentral lists this ribosomal RNA (406 nucleotides) under uncultured bacterium. RNAcentral's name for it is "partial 16S ribosomal RNA". It matches the Rfam family "Bacterial small subunit ribosomal RNA", at positions 30 to 526 of the family's 1533-position model. The record is from RNAcentral.
AUUGAACGCUGGCGGCAGGCCUAACACAUGCAAGUCGAACGAGUGGCGGACGGGUGAGUAAUGUCUGGGAAACUGCCUGAUGGAGGGGGAUAACUACUGGAAACGGUAGCUAAUACCGCAUACCAUCGGAUGUGCCUAGUUGGGAGUAGCUAGUAGGAGGGGUAACGGCUCACCUAGUCUACGAUCCCUAGCUGGUCUGAGAGGAUGACCGACCACACUGGAACUGAGACCCGGUCCAGACUCCUACGGAGGGCAGCAGUGGGGAAUAUUGCACAAUGGGCGCAAGCCUUAUGCAGCCAUGCCGCGUGUAUGAAGAAGGCCUUCGGGUUGUAAAGUACUUUCAGCGAGGAGGCGUUACUCGCAGAAGAGGCACCGGCGAACUCAGUGCCAGCAGCCGCGGUAAUUC